UGAUUUAAUUUGACCUUAUACCUUAUAUUGCAAUGUGAUGAAUAAAUUACCUUUUAUUUAUUCGUGAACAUUUGUAAAUUCAACGAAAAAAAAAAAAAAUUUGAAAGUUUGGCUGUGUUAAUUACUUUGGCAGUACUGUGUGCAUUGAUGUUUUCAUAUUCUUUUCACGAAAAUAUAUUUUAUGGAAGAUAAAAUGUCAGAGUCGGACAUAUUUGAUGAGAAACGUUCUACAAGUUUAUUCUCGAAUGAAAAAUUAUCAACAAACCUCAGCAUGGACAUUGCCAAUUCAGACUCAGAUUCCAUGUCUAUUUAUAUUAAUGAACCAGAAUUCUCGGAAGAUGUACCUGAAUGGAAGGGAAUGAGCAUGAAUGAAAUACGUAAAGGUUUUGGCAUACAUGAAUAUCGAGGACAUCCAUCAGUUGUUUCUUCUACAAAGCAUACAGGGCUGUUUAAGUUACUAUUAGUUAUCUAUACAUGAACCACCAAAACUUUAUCUGACACAUUAAAUAGACUGAAAUGGAGCCAUGGAUAUGUAUGAUUGCUGUGUUCUGCACAUUGUAUUUACCCAGUUGAUCAGGUGGCGACAUUCUCUCCAAUUGACAUUUCCUGGGUGAAACAGAUAAUGUCCGAAACUAACAAUAAAAUAGAAACACAAAUUGUCGAUGAUUACUGAAAGAGUAACUCACAAGCGGAUAAUCAAUAUCUGCCGCCAAUAUAAGAAUGAUGCAGUGUAUAUUUACUGUUGUGUAACAUAUUUUUUUAAUACUCACGAAAAUGUUAAAACGAGAACAGAAAAGCGCCCACAUAAUACUCGAUUUAACGUAAUGCUGCCGAAAGUAACACUGAGAAAUACAAAAAAGUAAAAAUUGUCUCUUUUUCUUAAUAAAAUUAAUCAAUUCUUACUAAAAAUGAAACAAGAAAAAAGAAUAUGGCAUUAUUUUUAUUGUUCGGCACGAAAGCCAGGUUUUCUGGUUGAGCAAUCAAUGGAGGUAGCCAUGGGAACAGUGCCGUUGUACUGACCGCGAUCAAUGGAACAUCCCAUAAAUACGGAAAGAUUGCGAAACAUUGAG
Molecule: long non-coding RNA, 1070 nt
Organism: Camponotus floridanus (Florida carpenter ant)
Lineage: Eukaryota; Metazoa; Arthropoda; Insecta; Hymenoptera; Formicidae
Exons: 5
Source: RefSeq, a predicted model, not a curated record